This 45-nucleotide non-coding RNA is filed under the name Lactococcus garvieae ATCC 49156. Lineage: Bacteria; Bacillati; Bacillota; Bacilli; Lactobacillales; Streptococcaceae. The record is from RNAcentral.
GGUUGGGCGCAAGCUUCAAGAGAUUUCCUCCGAGGGUAAGGAGGA